RNAcentral lists this ribosomal RNA (468 nucleotides) under uncultured bacterium. RNAcentral's name for it is "partial 16S ribosomal RNA". It matches the Rfam family "Bacterial small subunit ribosomal RNA", at positions 28 to 507 of the family's 1533-position model. The record is from RNAcentral.
GACGAACGCUGGCGGCGUGCUUAACACAUGCAAGUCGAACGGAAAGGCCCUGCUUUUGUGGGGUGCUCGAGUGGCGAACGGGUGAGUAACACGUGAGUAACCUGCCCUUGACUUUGGGAUAACUUCAGGAAACUGGGGCUAAUACCGGAUAGGAGCUCCUGCUGCAUGGUGGGGGUUGGAAAGUUUCGGCGGUUGGGGCUGGACUCGCGGGUUAUCAGCUUGUUGGUGAGGUAGUGGCUUACCAAGGCUUUGACGGGUAGCCGGCCUGGGAGGGUGACCGGCGACAUUGGGACUACGGUACGGCCCAGACUCCUACGGGAGGCAGUAGUGGGGAGUAUUGCGCAAUGGGCGGAAGCCUGAUGCAGCAACGCCGCGUGCGGGAUGACGGCCUUCGGGUUGUAAACCGCUUUCGCCUGUGACGAAGCGUGAGUGACGGUAAUGGGUAAAGAAGCACCGGCUAACUACGUG